UACGGGGGGGCCAAGCGUUGUUCGGAAUUACUGGGCGUAAAGGGCUCGUAGGCGGCCAACUAAGUCAGACGUGAAAUCCCUCGGCUUAACCGGGGAACUGCGUCUGAUACUGGAUGGCUAGAGGUUGGGAGAGGGAUGCGGAAUUCCAGGUGUAGCGGUGAAAUGCGUAGAUAUCUGGAGGAACACCGGUGGCGAAGGCGGCAUCCUGGACCAAUUCUGACGCUGAGGAGCGAAAGCCAGGGGAGCAAACGGG
RNAcentral lists this ribosomal RNA (253 nucleotides) under uncultured bacterium. Its description in RNAcentral is "partial 16S ribosomal RNA". It matches the Rfam family "Bacterial small subunit ribosomal RNA", at positions 524 to 776 of the family's 1533-position model. The record is from RNAcentral.